RNAcentral lists this long non-coding RNA (504 nucleotides) under Mus spicilegus (steppe mouse). Its description in RNAcentral is "lncRNA (ENSMSIG00000019440.1)". The record is from RNAcentral. Lineage: Eukaryota; Metazoa; Chordata; Mammalia; Rodentia; Muridae.
AUGAGAUCCGUCAAAUGUCUUUCGCCAUCCACUUUUCUAGUUUGGGUCUCUCCAUGGCUGUCCCCAAGGCCACUGGUUGGUGCAGCUUUCCCGCCCCCCCCCCCCCCCCCCCCCCCCCCCGCGCCCCCCCCCCCCCCCCCCCCCCCCCCCCCGCCCCCGGAUGCCUACGUGCUACCCCAACCAGAACUGCAAAAUUUAGAGACUGGGUACCAAAGAAGUAAGGCGUCCUCAGAAGCGGCUGCAGGAGCCAACGCACUGGACUCCCUCAGCCCACAUCUGUGGAAUUAUAACAUCUGAGGACCUGGUGUGGGAGUGAGGGGACCCAAGCCAUUGCAAAUGGGGGGAAAAGGGGCCAGUCAAGACAAUAGAGCUACAUAAUCCAAAGAAGGAUCAAACUGAUCACAGUCCUUGUGACCUUUUACCCUUCCUUUAAUUCUCAAUACUGAACAUCUGUGUUUCUUGGUCAAUGCCUGAAAGUAAUAAAGACAAUUAGAGCUUAGAGCA